GCUUUGGAACUCUACAGAGGAUAUUAGCAUUGCCCCUGAUCAAGGAUGACAUGCAAGUUCAUGAAGCAUUCCAUAUUUUU
Molecule: small nuclear RNA, 80 nt
Filed under: Jaculus jaculus (lesser Egyptian jerboa)
Lineage: Eukaryota; Metazoa; Chordata; Mammalia; Rodentia; Dipodidae
Source: RNAcentral